AACGAACGCUGGCGGCAGGCUUAACACAUGCAAGUCGAACGGAUGUAGCAAUACAUCAGUGGCAGACGGGUGAGGAACACGUGGGAAUAUUCCUUUCAGUUCGGAAUAACGUUGGGAAACUAACGCUAAUACCGGAUACGUCCUUCGGGAGAAAGAUUUAUCGCUGAAAGAUUAGCCCGCGUCUGAUUAGCUAGUUGGUGAGGUAAUGGCUCACCAAGGCGACGAUCAGUAGCUGGUCUGAGAGGAUGAUCAGCCACAUUGGGACUGAGACACGGCCCAAACUCCUACGGGAGGCAGCAGUGGGGAAUAUUGGACAAUGGGCGCAAGCCUGAUCCAGCCAUGCCGCGUGAGUGAUGAAGGCCUUCGGGUUGUAAAGCUCUUUUGUCCGGGAAGAUAAUGACUGUACCGGAAGAAUAAGCCCCGGCAAACUUCGUGCCAGCAGCCGCGGUAA
RNAcentral lists this ribosomal RNA (451 nucleotides) under uncultured bacterium. RNAcentral describes it as "partial 16S ribosomal RNA". It matches the Rfam family "Bacterial small subunit ribosomal RNA", at positions 29 to 523 of the family's 1533-position model. The record is from RNAcentral.